This 22-nucleotide microRNA is filed under the name Monodelphis domestica (gray short-tailed opossum). RNAcentral describes it as "mdo-miR-7398o-3p". Lineage: Eukaryota; Metazoa; Chordata; Mammalia; Didelphimorphia; Didelphidae. The record is from miRBase by way of RNAcentral.
GUAAAUCCUUGCCUCUCACUUU